GACGAACGCUGGCGGCGUGCUUAACACAUGCAAGUCGAACGGAAAGGCCCUGCUUUUGUGGGGUACUCGAGUGGCGAACGGGUGAGUAACACGUGAGUAACCUGCCCUUGACUUUGGGAUAACUUCAGGAAACUGGGGCUAAUACCGGAUAGGAGCUCCUGCUGCAUGGUGGGGGUUGGAAAGUUUCGGCGGUUGGGGAUGGACUCGCGGCUUAUCAGCUUGUUGGUGGGGUAGUGGCUUACCAAGGCUUUGACGGGUAGCCGGCCUGAGAGGGUGACCGGCCACAUUGGGACUGGGAUACGGCCCAGACUCCUACGGGAGGCAGCAGUGGGGAAUAUUGCACAAUGGGUGGAAGCCUGAUGCAGCAACGCCGUGUGCGGGAUGACGGCCUUCGGGUUGUAAACCGCUUUCGCUCAUGACGAAGCUUUGUGUGACGGUAGUGGGUAAAGAAGCACCGGCUAACUACGUG
This 469-nucleotide ribosomal RNA is filed under the name uncultured bacterium. Its description in RNAcentral is "partial 16S ribosomal RNA". It matches the Rfam family "Bacterial small subunit ribosomal RNA", at positions 28 to 507 of the family's 1533-position model. The record is from RNAcentral.